This 1440-nucleotide ribosomal RNA is filed under the name uncultured organism. RNAcentral's name for it is "partial small subunit ribosomal RNA". It matches the Rfam family "Bacterial small subunit ribosomal RNA". The record is from RNAcentral.
CGCUGGCGGCGUGCUUAACACAUGCAAGUCGAACGGAAAGGCCCUGCUUUUGUGGGGUGCUCGAGUGGCGAACGGGUGAGUAACACGUGAGUAACCUGCCCUUGACUUUGGGAUAACUUCAGGAAACUGGGGCUAAUACCGGAUAGGAGCUCCUGCUGCAUGGUGGGGGUUGGAAAGUUUCGGCGGUUGGGGAUGGACUCGCGGCUUAUCAGCUUGUUGGUGGGGUAGUGGCUUACCAAGGCUUUGACGGGUAGCCGGCCUGAGAGGGUGACCGGCCACAUUGGGACUGAGAUACGGCCCAGACUCCUACGGGAGGCAGCAGUGGGGAAUAUUGCACAAUGGGCGGAAGCCUGAUGCAGCAACGCCGCGUGCGGGAUGACGGCCUUCGGGUUGUAAACCGCUUUCGCCUGUGACGAAGCGUGAGUGACGGUAAUGGGUAAAGAAGCACCGGCUAACUACGUGCCAGCAGCCGCGGUGAUACGUAGGGUGCGAGCGUUGUCCGGAUUUAUUGGGCGUAAAGGGCUCGUAGGUGGUUGAUCGCGUCGGAAGUGUAAUCUUGGGGCUUAACCCUGAGCGUGCUUUCGAUACGGGUUGACUUGAGGAAGGUAGGGGAGAAUGGAAUUCCUGGUGGAGCGGUGGAAUGCGCAGAUAUCAGGAGGAACACCAGUGGCGAAGGCGGUUCUCUGGGCCUUUCCUGACGCUGAGGAGCGAAAGCGUGGGGAGCGAACAGGCUUAGAUACCCUGGUAGUCCACGCUGUAAACGGUGGGUACUAGGUGUGGGGUCCAUUCCACGGGUUCCGUGCCGUAGCUAACGCUUUAAGUACCCCGCCUGGGGAGUACGGCCGCGAGGCUAAAACUCAAAGGAAUUGACGGGGCCCCGCACAAGCGGCGGAGCAUGCGGAUUAAUUCGAUGCAACGCGUAGAACCUUACCUGGGUUUGACAUGGAUCGGGAGUGCUCAGAGAUGGGUGUGCCUCUUUUGGGGUCGGUUCACAGGUGGUGCAUGGCUGUCGUCAGCUCGUGUCGUGAGAUGUUGGGUUAAGUCCCGCAACGAGCGCAACCCUUGUUCACUGUUGCCAGCACGUUAUGGUGGGGACUCAGUGGAGACCGCCGGGGUCAACUCGGAGGAAGGUGGGGAUGACGUCAAGUCAUCAUGCCCCUUAUGUCCAGGGCUUCACGCAUGCUACAAUGGCUGGUACAGAGAGUGGCGAGCCUGUGAGGGUGAGCGAAUCUCGGAAAGCCGGUCUCAGUUCGGAUUGGGGUCUGCAACUCGACCUCAUGAAGUCGGAGUCGCUAGUAAUCGCAGAUCAGCAACGCUGCGGUGAAUACGUUCCCGGGGCUUGUACACACCGCCCGUCAAGUCAUGAAAGUUGGUAACACCCGAAGCCGGUGGCCUAACCGUUGUGGGGGAGCCGUCGAAGGUGGGACUGGUGAUUAGGAC